Non-coding RNA from Pelobates cultripes (western spadefoot toad), 801 nucleotides. Lineage: Eukaryota; Metazoa; Chordata; Amphibia; Anura; Pelobatidae. The record is from the annotation of a GenBank genome assembly.
CAAAUGUCUCGUUACAUUUUUUAAAAUAUGCAAAUGUUUGAAUUUGUUCAGAACCAAAUUCUUGACCGAAUAAACAAUGACCGGCAGAAUUGCGAGAAAAUGGAGCGGUCUGGUACCCUUUCAGCUGCUGUUUCUGUGGGAUGGAGAGGUGAUAUAUGAGAAGUUUAUGAGAUACAUGAAUAUACCGAUGUUACUAAACUAGAAAAACACUUGGAGAAUUCCUUAGGUUAACUGUAAGUAGAACCUGACGAGGGUUGAGCGAUCACGUAAAAUGAGAAAAAAUAACUAUUAUGAGAAUGGACAUCAGCUAGCCACCUCCACUGUCCAUAAACAGGCCAAAACUACUUUAAAUGGAAGAUCUGUAUAGAGAUACGGUAAUGUACAUGACGUCUCAUUAAAGGAACUCUUAUAGCUCUAAAAUCAGAGAUCCAUCUUUACCGAAAAUUGAGUAAAGGAAAAUAAUAAUAAUUGGAGGCAAUAAGAACAUAAUUACCAGCAAAAUGUAACAACUUGGAUGAGAAUUAUCAGAACCCAACAUAUCUUGAAAACACAUAUUUACUGCUGUAAAACAUAUUGUAACAAACAUACAAUUCAACCAACGUCAACUGUUAAAACAUACGCAAGGCUGCUCCAGAUAAGAUGGUGAUAAAUAGCUCAGUCAAUCCAAAAUCUAGUUAGUAGAACUCGUUAGUUAGAGCUGGUAGAAAAAAAAAACCAUACGACUGCCAAGGACUGUGAUACCCUGUUUAUAAAUCCCCAACCAAAUGAUACUUCCAGAGACAGGAGUAUUUGGUGUAAAAC